This 600-nucleotide ribosomal RNA is filed under the name Triticum aestivum (bread wheat). Its description in RNAcentral is "partial small subunit ribosomal RNA". Lineage: Eukaryota; Viridiplantae; Streptophyta; Magnoliopsida; Poales; Poaceae. The record is from RNAcentral.
AUGCAGCCCAACCCGGCCAACAUGUAUGCCUGCUGCCUUCAGGCGCGCGUUGACAUCACCCAGGGCGUCCCGCGUAACGCCGCCGCCGGCUGCUGCCCCGACUGCUUCUCCUACCUCCAGCCGCAGCGCUCCUGGCUCCGCGCCGGCCCGGAGUCCCCCGAGCACCCGCUCGCUCGCCUCCGGAUCUCGCUCUCCGGCGUCGAGUUCGUCUUCUCCGAGCCCCACUCCAAGCGCCUCUGCCUCAAGCUCCGCCUCCGCAGCGAGGUCCUCAACGACAUCGUCCUCGAGCAGACCCACCCCGUCGAGUUCGCCGUCCACGACCGCUUCUGUGACUCGUGCGCCCGCGCCCAGCCAAGCCCGACCAGUGGGCCGCCCUCGUCCAGUUCCGCCAGCACGUUCCACACCGCCGCACCUUCCUCGCAGCUCCUCUUCAAGCAUGGCCAAACCGCGCUCGCCAUCCGCGUCGCCUCGGCUCCCGGCGGCCUCAACUUCUUCUUCGGCUCACGCUCGCACGCCGCAAGCCUCGUCGUCUUCUUGGUACAGUCGAGCGUGCGUUCCACCAUGAGAAACGGGAUCGAGAAAGGGAGUAAUUUCGGGUGA